GGGGAUGCCAUGGUUUCGACGUGGUCGAAGAAUUAUUAAUAGCAAGUCGAAUGUGGAACGUAAAUCCACAGUUUAAAUAUAAACGCAAACAACAAUAGCGAAGCUAACUUCGCACUAGCUGCCUAAGAAUCUGGUAGCAAUGAAUUGUAGGUUUGUCGCGAACUUACAAUUUGUUUCAUAAUUUUAGCGACAACUAAUAUACCAAAGCUUUGAGGUAUAUUCAGUAUAAUGAAGCUAGCAUAAAAAUUAUUUGUAAGUUUACUGGUUUUUAUGCAAAAUUUUUAAACUUACUAAACUUGUAGAGGUUAAUAAGGAGACUUCCACGGACAUGGGUUCGACUCCCAUCAUCUCCACCA
This 356-nucleotide transfer-messenger RNA is filed under the name Peptoniphilaceae. Its description in RNAcentral is "Anaerococcus sp900541365 Standard tmRNA". It matches the Rfam family "transfer-messenger RNA". From Rfam's summary of the family: Bacterial tmRNA, also known as 10Sa RNA or SsrA, is named for its dual tRNA and mRNA-like properties. Its role is to liberate the mRNA from a stalled ribosome. To accomplish this part of the tmRNA is used as a reading frame that ends in a translation stop signal. The record is from RNAcentral. Lineage: Bacteria; Bacillati; Bacillota; Tissierellia; Tissierellales. RNAcentral also lists the same sequence under 2 other names.